GAAAUGCGAUAAGUAGUGUGAAUUGCAGAAUUCAGUGAAUCAUCGAAUCUUUGAACGCACAUUGCGCCCCUUGGUAUUCCAUGGGGCAUGCCUGUUCGAGCGUCAUUUGUACCUUCAAGCUUUGCUUGGUGUUGGGUGUUUGUCUCGCCUCUGCGCGCAGACUCGCCUCAAAACAAUUGGCAGCCGGCGUAUUGAUUUCGGAGCGCAGUACAUCUCGCGCUUUGCACUCAUAACGACGACGUCCCAAAAGUACAUUUUUUACACUCUUGACCUCGGAUCAGGUAGGGAUACCCGCUGAACUUAAGC
This 306-nucleotide unclassified non-coding RNA is filed under the name plant metagenome. RNAcentral's name for it is "partial contains 5.8S ribosomal RNA, internal transcribed spacer 2, and large subunit ribosomal RNA". The stretch from base 1 to 105 matches the Rfam family "5.8S ribosomal RNA", at positions 50 to 154 of the family's 154-position model. The record is from RNAcentral.